RNAcentral lists this unclassified non-coding RNA (342 nucleotides) under soil metagenome. Its description in RNAcentral is "partial contains 5.8S ribosomal RNA, internal transcribed spacer 2, and large subunit ribosomal RNA". The stretch from base 1 to 120 matches the Rfam family "5.8S ribosomal RNA", at positions 35 to 154 of the family's 154-position model. The record is from RNAcentral.
GAUGAAGAACGUAGCGAAAUGCGAUAAGUAGUGUGAAUUGCAGAAUUCAGUGAAUCAUCGAAUCUUUGAACGCACAUUGCGCCCUUUGGUAUUCCAAAGGGCAUGCCUGUUCGAGCGUCAUUUGUACCCUCAAGCUUUGCUUGGUGUUGGGCGUCUUGUCUCUAGCUUUGCUGGAGACUCGCCUUAAAGUAAUUGGCAGCCGGCCUACUGGUUUCGGAGCGCAGCACAAGUCGCACUCUCUAUCAGCAAAGGUCUAGCAUCCAUUAAGCCUUUUUUUCAACUUUUGACCUCGGAUCAGGUAGGGAUACCCGCUGAACUUAAGCAUAUCCAAUAAGCGGAGGA